This 253-nucleotide ribosomal RNA is filed under the name uncultured bacterium. RNAcentral describes it as "partial 16S ribosomal RNA". It matches the Rfam family "Bacterial small subunit ribosomal RNA", at positions 524 to 776 of the family's 1533-position model. The record is from RNAcentral.
UACGGAGGGGGCUAGCGUUGUUCGGAAUUACUGGGCGUAAAGCGCACGUAGGCGGACUGUUAAGUCGGGGGUGAAAUCCUGGGGCUCAACCUCAGAAUUGCCUCCGAUACUGGCAGUCUCGAGUGCGGGAGAGGUGAGCGGAAUUCCCAGUGUAGAGGUGAAAUUCGUAGAUAUUGGGAAGAACACCAGUGGCGAAGGCGGCUCACUGGCCCGUAACUGACGCUGAGGUGCGAAAGCGUGGGGAGCAAACAGG